AGUCGAACGGGAGGAAAAGAGAAGCUUGCUUCUUUUUGAAUCUAGUGGCAAACGGGUGAGUAACACGUAAACAACCUGCCUUCAGGAUGGGGACAACAGACGGAAACGACUGCUAAUACCGAAUGUGUUCCGGAGACCGCAUGAUUUCCGGAAGAAAGGAUGGCCUCUAUUUAUAAGCUAUCGCCUGAAGAGGGGUUUGCGUCUGAUUAGGCAGUUGGUGAGGUAACGGCCCACCAAACCUACGAUCAGUAGCCGGUCUGAGAGGAUGAACGGCCACACUGGAACUGAGACACGGUCCAGACUCCUACGGGAGGCAGCAGUGGGGAAUCUUCCGCAAUGGACGAAAGUCUGACGGAGCAACGCCGCGUGAGUGAUGACGGCCUUCGGGUUGUAAAGCUCUGUGAUCGGGGACGAAUGGCUGGUAUGCUAAUACCAUAUCAGAGUGACGGUACCCGAAUAGCAAGCCACGGCUAACUACGUGCCAGCAGCCGCGGUAAUACGUAGGUGGCAAGCGUUGUCCGGAAUUAUUGGGCGUAAAGCGCGCGCAGGCGGCUUCUUAAGUCCAUCUUAAAAGUGCGGGGCUUAACCCCGUGAUGGGAUGGAAACUGGGAGGCUGGAGUAUCGGAGAGGAAAGUGGAAUUCCUAGUGUAGCGGUGAAAUGCGUAGAGAUUAGGAAGAACACCGGUGGCGAAGGCGACUUUCUGGACGACAACUGACGCUGAGGCGCGAAAGCGUGGGGAGCAAACAGGAUUAGAUACUCUGGUAGUCCACGCCGUAAACGAUGAAUACUAGGUGUAGGAGGUAUCGACCCCUUCUGUGCCGGAGCUAACACAAUAAGUAUUCCGCCUGGGAAGUACGAUCGCAAGAUUAAAACUCAAAGGAAUUGACGGGG
RNAcentral lists this ribosomal RNA (892 nucleotides) under uncultured bacterium. RNAcentral's name for it is "bacterial SSU rRNA". It matches the Rfam family "Bacterial small subunit ribosomal RNA", at positions 60 to 918 of the family's 1533-position model. The record is from RNAcentral.